RNAcentral lists this ribosomal RNA (1494 nucleotides) under metagenome. RNAcentral's name for it is "bacterial SSU rRNA". It matches the Rfam family "Bacterial small subunit ribosomal RNA". The record is from RNAcentral.
AGAGUUUGAUCCUGGCUCAGAUUGAACGCUGGCGGCAUGCCUUACACAUGCAAGUCGAACGGUAACGCGGGGGCAACCCUGGCGACGAGUGGCGAACGGGUGAGUAAUACAUCGGAACAUAUCCAGUAGCGGGGGAUAACCUAUCGAAAGAUGGACUAAUACCGCAUACGAUCUACGGAUGAAAGCAGGGGACCGCAAGGCCUUGCACUAUUGGAGUGGCCGAUGUCGGAUUAGCUAGUUGGUGGGGUAAAAGCUUACCAAGGCGACGAUCCGUAGCUGGUCUGAGAGGACGAUCAGCCACACUGGAACUGAGACACGGUCCAGACUCCUACGGGAGGCAGCAGUGGGGAAUUUUGGACAAUGGGCGCAAGCCUGAUCCAGCCAUGCCGCGUGAGUGAAGAAGGCCUUCGGGUUGUAAAGCUCUUUCGGUGAAGACGAAACGGUUCAUGCUAAUAACGUGAACUAAUGACGGUACUCACAGAAGAAGCACCGGCUAACUACGUGCCAGCAGCCGCGGUAAUACGUAGGGUGCAGGCGUUAAUCGGAAUUACUGGGCGUAAAGCGUGCGCAGGCGGUUUGCUAAGACAGGUGUGAAAUCCCCAGGGCUUAACCUGGGAAUUGCGCUUGUAACUGGCAAGCUAGAGUGUGGCAGAGGGGGGUGGAAUUCCACGUGUAGCAGUGAAAUGCGUAGAUAUGUGGAGGAACACCGAUGGCGAAGGCAGCCCCCUGGGUUAACACUGACGCUCAUGCACGAAAGCGUGGGGAGCAAACAGGAUUAGAUACCCUGGUAGUCCACGCCCUAAACUAUGUCAACUAGUUGUCGGGGAAGAAAUUCCUUGGUAACGAAGCUAACGCGUGAAGUUGACCGCCUGGGGAGUACGGCCGCAAGGUUAAAACUCAAAGGAAUUGACGGGGACCCGCACAAGCGGUGGAUUAUGUGGAUUAAUUCGAUGCAACGCGAAAAACCUUACCUACCCUUGACAUGCUAGGAAGCCCGCAGAGAUGUGGGUGUGCCCGAAAGGGAACCUAGACACAGGUGCUGCAUGGCUGUCGUCAGCUCGUGUCGUGAGAUGUUGGGUUAAGUCCCGCAACGAGCGCAACCCUUGCCAUUAGUUGCUACAUUCAGUUGGGCACUCUAAUGGGACCGCCGGUGACAAACCGGAGGAAGGUGGGGAUGACGUCAAGUCCUCAUGGCCCUUAUGGGUAGGGCUUCACACGUAAUACAAUGGUCGGUACAGAGGGCUGCCAACCCGCAAGGGGGAGCUAAUCCCAGAAAGCCGAUCGUAGUCCGGAUUGUAGUCUGCAACUCGACUGCAUGAAGCCGGAAUCGCUAGUAAUCGCGGAUCAGCAUGUCGCGGUGAAUACGUUCCCGGGUCUUGUACACACCGCCCGUCACACCAUGGGAGUGGGUUCCACCAGAAGUAGUUAGCCUAACCGCAAGGAGGGCGAUUACCACGGUGAGAUUCAUGACUGGGGUGAAGUCGUAACAAGGUA